GACGGAGGUGCCAAGCGUUAGGCGGAAUCACUGGGCUUAAAGCGUGUGUAGGCGGUAACGUUAAGUGCCUUGUGAAAUCCCACGGCCUCAACCGUGGAACUGCUGGGCAUACUGGCGGUUCUUGAGCCAGCCAGGGGUCGGUCGGAACAAACGGUGGAGCGGUGAAAUGACGUAGAGAUUAGGGAAAGAACACCGGGUGGCGAA
RNAcentral lists this ribosomal RNA (204 nucleotides) under uncultured bacterium. RNAcentral describes it as "partial 16S ribosomal RNA". It matches the Rfam family "Bacterial small subunit ribosomal RNA", at positions 524 to 719 of the family's 1533-position model. The record is from RNAcentral.